ACUUCUUCCUCUCUUCAGGUCACUGAUUUCUCUCUUCCUUCCAGUUCAGAGAAUUCAAACUAGUGAAAUCAACUCUCUACCACCUCUUCACAGCCUCUCCUUCUGGAAGAAUUCAAGGUUUAUCUGGGUCUAGCAAGAGUCAACAAGCCCAUGUAAUGUGCCUGGCUAGUAGAAGAUACAUCCUGGGACGAAGGCUAUAAAUCUCACUACUAUUACCUACCUACCUUUUCAACUGGAGCUAAAGGUGGAAGUCAAAGAAAGAAGCAAUUUUGGCUAAGAACUCAAGGAUGCAGGCCUAUUUGAACUCCAGAAGAGACCAGAAGACUUCCUCUACCUCAUAAAAUGACCUAGACUCACCCAGUUUUCUGUCUACCUGUGAGCAUAGAUUCCAUUCAUUCACUUGGGGAGACUCUGUAGACUAUACUUUCUGGAAACGCUAAGAUUCAAGACAAGUCUCGUGAUGCUCAUCUUUUGGGUCUUCGUUCGUGUGAACCAAUUCCCUAACACCAUCUCUCGCUUUAUCAUCGUUGUCAUUGUCAGCAGCAGCAGUACUGUCAUCGUCAUCAACAGUAGCAGCAUCAAAACACACAACCGUGACUUCAUCUUACUUGAAUGAGCCUUUGCUUAGCACCAGCGAUGCACACUUCAGUUCGUCUUGCUCUACUGAAGACCUGGCACACAUAUUAAAAAGGCAAGAUUCACUUUGGGGAGGGAGGUGAAUAAAGAAACAACACUUUAAAAAGGGGGAAACCUGGACCAAGAACCCACAACAGUUUUUCAAAUUCACCUGGAAGAGAAGAGAUGUGGUCUGUCCUCAUUGUGAUUCUUGACAGGACUUACCCAUAAAACAACUUCUAAUAAAGGAAUCUCCAAACGAACGGUUCUUUAGAGACCA
Ornithorhynchus anatinus (platypus) is the source of this 895-nucleotide long non-coding RNA. RefSeq lists it as uncharacterized. Lineage: Eukaryota; Metazoa; Chordata; Mammalia; Monotremata; Ornithorhynchidae. The transcript has 2 exons. The record is from RefSeq and is a predicted model, not a curated record.